This is a regulatory RNA element of Ovis aries (sheep), 45 nucleotides long. It matches the Rfam family "Histone 3' UTR stem-loop". From Rfam's summary of the family: The mRNAs of metazoan histone genes lack a poly-A tail. The record is from Rfam. NCBI's taxonomy places the organism in Eukaryota, Metazoa, Chordata, Mammalia, Artiodactyla, Bovidae.
CCAAAGGCUCUUUUCAGAGCCACCCACGACUACACUUGAAAGCAG